Molecule: ribosomal RNA, 873 nt
Filed under: uncultured archaeon
Lineage: Archaea
Description: bacterial SSU rRNA
Rfam family: Archaeal small subunit ribosomal RNA
Source: RNAcentral
GCCGGACCCGACUGCUAUCAGAGUGGGACUAAGCCAUGCGAGUCAACAUAGCAAUAUGUGGCAUACGGCUCAGUAACACGCAGUCAACAUGCCCAGGGGACGUGGAUAACCUCGGGAAACUGAGGAUAAACCGCGAUAAGUCACUACUUCUGGAAUGGGUAAUGACUCAAAUCUACAUGGCCCCUGGAUUGGACUGCGGCCGAUCAGGCUGUUGGUGAGGUAAUGGCCCACCAAACCUGUAACCGGUACGGGCUCUGAGAGGAGGAGCCCGGAGAUGGGCACUGAGACAAGGGCCCAGGCCCUAUGGGGCGCAGCAGGCGCGAAACCUCUGCAAUAGGCGAAAGCCUGACAGGGUUACUCUGAGUGAUUUCCGUUAAGGAGAUCUUUUGGCACCUCUAAAAAUGGUGCAGAAUAAGGGGUGGGCAAGUCUGGUGUCAGCCGCCGCGGUAAUACCAGCACCCCGAGUGGUCGGGACGUUUAUUGGGCCUAAAGCAUCCGUAGCCGGUUCUACAAGUCUUCCGUUAAAUCCACCUGCUUAACAGAUGGGCUGCGGAAGAUACUAUGGAGCUAGGAGGCGGGAGAGGCAAGCGGUACUCGAUGGGUAGGGGUAAAAUCCGUUGAUCCAUUGAAGACCACCAGUGGCGAAGGCGGCUUGCCAGAACGCGCUCGACGGUGAGGGAUGAAAGCUGGGGGAGCAAACCGGAUUAGAUACCCGGGUAGUCCCAGCUGUAAACGAUGCAGACUCGGUGAUGAGUUGGCUUUAUGCCAACUCAGUGCCGCAGGGAAGCCGUUAAGUUUGCCGCCUGGGGAGUACGGUCGCAAGACUGAAACUUAAAGGAAUUGGCGGGGGAGCACCACAGGGGUGUAACCUGC